GACCAGAUCCUACGGCCAUACUUUGAAAAUAAUAAGACCGUUAGGCUUUAAAAGGCAUGUGUUAUAUACAGUAUUUCAAUUUCAAUUCUCUGUAUUUGAAUUUCAUCUGAGAGAGCAAAAUAGAGAUCAUGGUAGCGGGCCAGCGGCUACAGAGGCGGAUAAACGAAAGAGCUGAUUCAAUGUGUUUUGUAAUGGAUUCGAGACCAAUGUUCGACAAAUCAGAGGUUCGGUUUUAAUUGUGCUCUAGGGUUCUUUUAAUUCAAUUAGAUGUUUUCUUGUGUUGGAUCUUCAAUUUCUUUUGAUUAUUCUACAAUUACGUCUUUUCCAUCCACACUGUGUUCUGUAAACCCUAGUAUUCGGCGUUUAUUGAUUCUUAAUUUUGAUUUCAAGAGAAAGUAAUUCAUUUUGAUAUUUUCGAGUUUGUUCGGUUUCUCUUGCGUUCUAGGGUUCUCUAAAUUCUUUUACAUCUUUUGUAUUUAUUGUUUAUAGUGAUUAUUGUAUUUAUUGUCUAUUCAUGUGUGUUCAGUAAACCCUAUUUUUUGGUGUAUAUUGAUGCUUAAAUUUUGAUAUCAAGAGACAGCAAUUCAUUUCAAUUUUUUCUUCUCUGUGGAGUUAGUUUAAUUAUUAUCUUGUUGUAUUCUUUUACAUAUUUUUUAAUUUAAUUUUUGUAAUGAUUUCUUCUCUAUUCUUUUUCUCUCUGUGUGUUUUGUGGAUUUUUUUAUGAUUGCUAUUAAUAAUUUGUAUUGUUAGUGGCUUACAUUGAAUAGAUGUUUUCUUUACAUAUGAUUUCUGUCUAAUUGGGUUUUUUCCUUGAUUUCUUGUCUAAUUGGGUUUUUGUUUGUUUUGUCUGUCACUUUGAGUAUGAGUUUCACUAUCUCUUUUCUUUCAGUCUACUUGACUUUUUUAUUUAUUAAUGUUGUUCUGUUUGGAAACACCAUUAUCAGAAUCUCUCUCUCUAAAAAGGAAAAAAAAUGAUGUUGUACUAAUCCUAUAUAUAUACAUGUAAUGUUUAUAUCAGGGUUUGGUGUCUACAGAUUUUGAUUCGCAGUGCAGAUCUAGUGCUUUAGGGUUUCAACAUUUGCUCACGAAUGGCCAGGCAGGAGGCUGUUGAUUGGAUGGGAAAG
This 1124-nucleotide long non-coding RNA is filed under the name Panax ginseng (ginseng). RNAcentral's name for it is "long non-coding RNA (PGIN_LNC004744)". The record is from RNAcentral. Lineage: Eukaryota; Viridiplantae; Streptophyta; Magnoliopsida; Apiales; Araliaceae.